CCUACGGGCGGCUGCAGUGAGGAAUAUUGGUCAAUGGGCGCGAGCCUGAACCAGCCAAGUCGCGUGAAGGAUGACUGCCCUACGGGUUGUAAACUUCUUUUAUCAAGGAAUAAAGUGAGGCACGUGUGCCUUUUUGUAGGUACUUUAUGAAUAAGGAUCGGCUAAUUCCGUGCCAGCAGCCGCGGUAAUACGGAGGAUCCGAGAGUUAUCCGGAUUUAGUGGGUUUAAAGGGAGCGGAGAUGGGUUGUUAAGUCAGUUGUGAAAGUUUGCGGCUCAACCGUAAAAUUGCAAUUGAUACUGGCAGCCGUGAGUACAGGUGAGGUAGGCGGAAUGCGUGGUGUAGCGGUGAAAUGCUUAGAUAUCACGCAGAACUCCGAUUGCGAAGGCAGCCUACUAAACUGCCACUGACAUUGAUGCUCGAAAGUGUGGGUAUCAAACAGGAUUAGAUACCCCUGUAGUC
This 460-nucleotide ribosomal RNA is filed under the name uncultured bacterium. RNAcentral describes it as "partial 16S ribosomal RNA". It matches the Rfam family "Bacterial small subunit ribosomal RNA", at positions 338 to 795 of the family's 1533-position model. The record is from RNAcentral.